Molecule: transfer RNA, 72 nt
Filed under: Camelus bactrianus (Bactrian camel)
Lineage: Eukaryota; Metazoa; Chordata; Mammalia; Artiodactyla; Camelidae
Also listed under: 2 other names
Rfam family: tRNA
About the family: Transfer RNA (tRNA) molecules are approximately 80 nucleotides in length. Their secondary structure includes four short double-helical elements and three loops (D, anti-codon, and T loops). Further hydrogen bonds mediate the characteristic L-shaped molecular structure. tRNAs have two regions of fundamental functional importance: the anti-codon, which is responsible for specific mRNA codon recognition, and the 3' end, to which the tRNAs corresponding amino acid is attached (by aminoacyl-tRNA synthetases). tRNAs cope with the degeneracy of the genetic code in two manners: having more than one tRNA (with a specific anti-codon) for a particular amino acid; and 'wobble' base-pairing, i.e. permitting non-standard base-pairing at the 3rd anti-codon position.
Source: Rfam by way of RNAcentral
GAGGGCAGAGCUCAGUGGUGGAGCACAUGCUUAGCAUGCACAAGGUCCUGGGUUCAAUCCCCAGUACCUCUC